CUCCGUGCCAAAGGCAUCUGCACCAUUAAGUAUGAGCCUGUUUGCGGCUCUGAUGGCAAAACAUAUGAAAACAGAUGCCGGUUCUGUUAUUCAGUUCAACGGAGUAGCAAGCUUCUUUUCCUCAAACAUGCUGGGGAAUGCAGAGCACUGGCAUAGUAGUCUUCACACUCAUUUUUCCCUUGCAAAGUCUGCAAUCAAACAUGCUCUUUCUUGCUCCAGAGGACUGCUGUGUAUUGGUCUCUGCUUUGUCUGAUCAAUAAAUUAAAUUCAGCCGC
Long non-coding RNA from Dromaius novaehollandiae (emu), 275 nucleotides. RefSeq lists it as uncharacterized. The record is from RefSeq and is a predicted model, not a curated record. The transcript is spliced from 2 exons. Lineage: Eukaryota; Metazoa; Chordata; Aves; Casuariiformes; Dromaiidae.